Molecule: non-coding RNA, 1990 nt
Organism: Pungitius pungitius (ninespine stickleback)
Lineage: Eukaryota; Metazoa; Chordata; Actinopteri; Perciformes; Gasterosteidae
Source: the annotation of a RefSeq genome assembly
CAGCAUCUGGGCUACUAAUAUAUCUUGAAAACAUUCAGAGCAGAAAGCAGUGGAUGAAGUGUUAAUACGUGUUAAAACAUAAUGGAAAAUAUGAUUUCCUGGAGUUUGUUCUUCAUAGUUACUAUUAAUGGAGUUUGGAGUGAGAUCAAACAUGAACAGUCUCCCUCUGAGGUGAAAAAACCUGAAGAGAAAGUGAAGAUGUCAUGUAUCAUAUCAGGUUAUGACAUGACAGACUACUUCAUUCACUGGAUACGACAGAGGCCAGGAAACGCUCUGGAGUGGAUUGGGAGGAUGAACGCAGGUAGAAACUCUCCUACUUUUAGCAGCUCCUUUCAAAGCCGCUUCAUCAUGACUGAAGAUGUGCCCAAGAGCACUCAGUACCUGGAGGUCACGAGCCUGACAGCAGAAGACUCAGCUGUUUACUUCUGUGCUCGACGCACAGUGACUGAAGACAGUGGAGCAGCUGAACAAAAACAUCCACAGACAACAAACAGCAACGUUGACUUGAGGAGAUUUGGGUUUUCUCACCAACUGCAACAGUACUUUAAUAUAUUUAAUAUCUUCAUGAUGUUUCAUCACUCACAUCAGACUCUGAGUGAGUCUGAACCAGCGGUGAAGCUCCCAGGAGAAUCCCAUAAACUGACCUGUACCUAUGCAGGAAUAUCAGAUGAUGAUGCUGAUAUCAGCUGGAUCAGACAAGCUGAAGGAAAAGGACUGGAGUGGAUCGCUUACAUUUCUGCUCCCAGUGGACAAAAUAAAUAUUAUUCCACGUCUUUCCUGAAUCGUUUCACCAUUUCCAGAGACAACGCCGUGGACCAGGUGUCUCUGCAGAUGAACAAAACGACUGCAUCUCCAACUCUGUUCCCUUUGGUGAAGUGUGAACCUGACGGUGAUAAAAUCACCCUCGGGUGUCUUGCACACAACUUCUUCCCAAAAAGUCUUACUUUCCAGUGGACCGAUGCCUGUGGGGACGCUCUGACUGCUGAUCGCUAUCCUUCAACUCUGAACAACAACAAAUAUACAGGAGUCAGUUUGCUUAAAGUACCAAAGUCUGACUGGGAUUCAAGGCACUCUUUUCAAUGUUCUGUGACGCACGAAGGAGGCCCAAGAAGUUUGACACUGGGAAAAAAGGCCUCUUGUUCUAUGAUUAGAAAUAUCACAAUGACACUGAAACCAACAAAUCCCAAAGACAUUUUCAACCAAAACCUGGCAAAGUUUGAGUGCAGGAUUGAAGGACUGGACCAGAACGCCAUGAAUGAAACGAAAUUCACUUGGCAAAUUAAUGGAAAUGAGACUGAGAACUUCAUUGAAACAACAGACUCCACAGGCAUCAAAAUCAGCACUUUGACUCAAAACCAAGCGGAAUGGAAGAAAAUGAACAAAGUGACCUGUUCUGCUAAGAACCAAAAAACACAAAUUUCUAAAGAUCUGAUCUACCAACGAGAUGAUUCCCCAAAAAUAACAAUCCACCUCCUCCCAAUGGAAGACGUGAUGAAUGCUACAGAGGUCACUAUGUUGUGUCUGGUCUCUAGCAAGAAACAGCAGGAUUUCUACAUCACCUGGUUAGAAGAAAGUAGAUCUGAUGUCAGCGUCUAUAACGAUGGCAUCGACUUCCCCCCUAUGAAGACCAAACACGGCUUCUCAGCUACGAGUCUUUACACCACCUCCUUGGAUAAGUGGAACAAAUACGUCCAGUUCUCCUGCAACGUGUGGUCACCUGGUGGUGAAAAGAUCAGAGUGGUGUCUCAGUCCGUUAUUAGAUCAAAUGAAUGUAAGGAUGUGUAGAUUGAGCCUUAAAUGUGUCAUCUUGUGCUAAUGUGCUGUCAUGUCUGUGUCCUCUCUGUCAUGGAACCCGUCUUUGUGAUUGUAAAAGUAACAGCCAGUUUGUCAAUUCACUUUGGUUUGUCAUCGUAUUGUGUUUGAAUCUGUCUUUGUCACAUCGUCCAAGAGCUUGAUAAAUGUGCUGACUGUUUCAAAUAAAUGUUGCAUA